This is a long non-coding RNA of Clupea harengus (Atlantic herring), 1730 nucleotides long. The record is from Ensembl. NCBI's taxonomy places the organism in Eukaryota, Metazoa, Chordata, Actinopteri, Clupeiformes, Clupeidae.
GUAGCAGAGCUUGUGUGUUUCGUUGGCGUUUACUGGAUUACCGGACGUCUGUUGAACGAGAUCCGAAGUUGAUUGGUUCCCUACUGCGUUGGAGUGGAGGCCGGUGAGAUCCCCGUCUUCUACGUUCGUGGGUUGCCAGGAAAGAGCUGACCUGAGUCGUCCGUUUGCCUGAGAGAAGCCUGAAUGAAUAUUGACUGAGAGCUAGAUUCGUCUGCUCUCGGUUCAAUGGUGAGUGUGCCUUGUCCACUAAUAAACUGAGGAAUUACGGUUAGCACCAUACAAAGUAGAGCUUCACGGACUAUCACAAGUAGCUAUUUUCUUUGGGUUGAUUUACUUUUGGUUGAUAUUAUUAUCUUUUCGUGUGUUGGUUAUUUACUUUCUGUUUGCUGUGAGUGUGUAUUGCUACUUGUGGAGAUACUGGCGAUUUCUCUCUCUCUCUGUGUGCGUGCGAGUGUGCGUGAUUGACAGACCAACGUGAGCAGCUGUGGUGCGGUGGUGGAUGCUGACGGACCUUGCUUGCGGAUUUUGGAUACGGCGGACUCUUGGACAUUGUAGACUGUGGUUCCUUCGGCAGUGGCCUACGGCCUGAUUCAUAUGGACUUGUGUUGUGUUUAUAUUUUAGUGCUUGUAAUAAAUUGUAUAUUUUUGUAUCAGAAACGAAGUCUGGAUGAAUCUGUAGUGCUGCUCCCACCAAACAAAGAACCUAAACACUAAAACUUUAAACUAGAGGCCCAUCUCUAUAAACUGGGUGGCGUAGUCGGUCUACACUGCCGUCCUCCCGUCACAUUUGGCAGUAGUUGGCAGGAUUUGGUUUGGAGCUUCACUUACAGUUCAUCCAGACAGUGUUUAGUUUAAAAUUGUAAAAAUGAUGCCUGUUUAUGUGGGUCCUUGGAUUCCUACAUUUAAAGGAAUUGUUGGGGAUACAAAAUUCAAUGACUGGAAAGAGCAGAUCCAGUUUAUUGCAAUCACGGGAGUUUAUUGAAGCACAAAAAGUCAGCAUAACACUGAGGGGCUUUAGCUAAUGAAGCCAAACGAAGACCUGGAACUGGCCCGGAGGUAUGUGGAGAUUGGACAUUUUCCUACCGGAGCUGCAUGGCGUGGUGUCCCGCCUAAGGUCAAACGGCUACUACAGCAGCGGGCCAAGCUGGUGCUGAGAGAUGGGGUCCUAUGCCGUCGUAUCAUUGACAUAACACCCACGAGGUAUUCUUCCAGAUUGUUUGCCCUACUCAACAAUGUAAAGAAGUCUGGGAGAGGCAUCAUGAUGCUGUUGGGCAUUUGGGAGUGGAGAGGACUCUUAACUGCUUGCGCCGCCAUUUCUUUUGGCCUGGCAUGGACGCACAAGUCCGCCAGUACCAUGCCACUUGUUCGCGUUGUCAGAUGCAGAAGGUAGAUACAGCCCCUAAGGCCCCAUUGAAGCCCUUUAUAGUGUCGUUCCCUCUAGAGGUUAUUGAGUUGGACUUUUUGACACUAGGGAGGCCCCAUGACUUGUAUCAAAAUAUUUUGGUGAUGACAGAUAUGUUUACCUGCUAUGCUUGGGCAAUCCCCACUAGAGACCAGACUGCAAGGACUACAGCUAGGGCCUUAUGGCAGCAUGUGAUGCAGACUUUUGGGUGCCCCAUGCGCUUCCAUUCGGAUCAAGGCCCAAACUUUGAGUCUCACUUAAUGGCCAAAUUAUGUAGCUUGUACAGUGCUGCCAAGAGUAGGACUACACCUUACUAUCCCCAGGGCAA